GACGAACGCUGGCGGCGUGCCUAAUACAUGCAAGUUGAGCGAUGAAGCUUUGUGCUUUCACCCUUUUGAAUAGCAGCUAACGGGUGAGUAACGCGUGGAGAAUCUUCCUUUUUUUGGUGGACAACAUUUUGAAACGAAUUCUACUACCACCUAAUACCUUUUAACAUAAAUUUUAAGUUUUAAAGAUGCAAUUGCCUCUCUCAUAGAUGAUCCUGCGUUUGAUUAGUUGGUUGGUGAGGUAAAGGCUCACCCAAGGGGUGAUACAUAGCCGACCUGAGGGGGAUGUCGAGCAAAAUGGGAAUGAGACAAGGGCCAAACUCCUACGGGAAGCAGCAGUAGGGAAUUAUCGGACAUGGACGAAAGUCUGAACGAGCAAAGACGGGGGAGUGAAGAAGGGUUUCGGAUCGUAAAACUCUGUUGGUAGAGAAGAAAGAGGGGGAGAGUGGAAAGCUCAUGAAGUGACGGUAACUAAAGAGAAAGGGACGGCUAACUACGUG
This 497-nucleotide ribosomal RNA is filed under the name uncultured bacterium. RNAcentral describes it as "partial 16S ribosomal RNA". It matches the Rfam family "Bacterial small subunit ribosomal RNA", at positions 28 to 507 of the family's 1533-position model. The record is from RNAcentral.